RNAcentral lists this ribosomal RNA (494 nucleotides) under uncultured bacterium. RNAcentral describes it as "partial 16S ribosomal RNA". It matches the Rfam family "Bacterial small subunit ribosomal RNA", at positions 28 to 507 of the family's 1533-position model. The record is from RNAcentral.
GACGAACGCUGGCGGCGUGCUUAACACAUGCAAGUCGAACGGUGAAGCGCCUUCCUUUUUGGUGGGUGUGGAUGAGUGGCGAACGGGUGAGUAACACGUGAGUAACCUGCCCCCUUCUUCUGGAUAACCGCAUGAAAGUGUGGCUAAUACAGGAUAUUCUGGGUCUGUCGCAUGAUGGGUCUGGGAAAGAUAUUGUUUCGGUGGGGGAUGGGCUCGCGGCCUAUCAGCUUGUUGGUGGGGUGAUGGCCUACCAAGGCGGUGACGGGUAGCCGGCCUGGGAGGGUGGACGGUCACACUGGGACUGAGACCCGGCCCAGACUCCUACGGGAGGCAGCAGGGGGGAAUAGUGCACAAUGGGCGCAAGCCUGAGGCAGCGACGCCGCGUGAGGGAUGGAGGCCGUCGGGUUGUGAACCUCUUUCGCCAGUGAAGCAGGCCUGCCUCGUUUGUGGGUGGGUUGACGGUAGCUGGAGAAGAAGCGCCGGCUAACUACGUG